Molecule: long non-coding RNA, 1361 nt
Organism: Lagopus muta (rock ptarmigan)
Lineage: Eukaryota; Metazoa; Chordata; Aves; Galliformes; Phasianidae
Exons: 3
Source: RefSeq, a predicted model, not a curated record
UCUGUUUCCACCAUGGUGAAUUCAGUGGAAAUGCAAGCAGCCAUUGGUUGCACUUGCACUGCUGCUUGUACCACGGCACAGUGAGACGCCAGGUGAGACUGGUAGGGCACGGCUUUGGUGCUUCUCUGUAUGAUGGUGGAGUCUUUGGGAGCUACAGCUUCUUUUUUUUUUUUUUUCUUUUUUUUUUUUUUCUUCUCCCUUUUGCUGCUUGGCACAGGCUGCCUUCUUGUCUGUUCAGCAUGGAGGAAAAUGUCUGGAACAGGCAGGUUGCCUCCCAAGCCACUUAGCCAUGGCAAAGUUGAAGGAAGCACAAUGAGCUUUCCUUUUUUUUAAAUUUAUUUCUUUUUUUUUGUUCUGACGAGUCGACAUCUAACAGUUGGUCCAGGUUAGAAAUAUUAAUAAGAUAGAUGAUAUUUUUCAUGUGUUUUCUUUAUUUGUUUGUCUGUCAUUCUGUGAUAUUUUUUUGCUCCAAAUUUUUUAGCACCACACAAAUAACUCAUGGUGUUUCAAGGCUAUUAACACAGUGAAAGAAAUGAACAUUUGGCUGCUUACCUACACAUUCAUUAAUGCCCCUGUGGUGACAUUUCAAGUGCUGUAUUAUUCCACAUAGCUCAGACUCAGCUCUGUCACUGCAAUUACAGUAAGCUAUGCACUGCAGAGAACGUGAUCAAUCUGGGAACUGCCAGUCCUACAUUUCUUUGUUAGCUCAUAGAAACCCUUUACCUGAAGCUCGUCAAGUUUCCUCAGUGAUUCUUACAUACUUCAAAAAAGUAAUGGGGAGAUUCAAGCUGCAUUCAUGGAGAUCCCAGCAUUAUUUCAUGCUCUUUUCUCUCAAUCAGCAGUGCUUAAUUGCAUUUUUAAUUCUGACAGGCCCAGUAAGUGUAGUCCAGCCAGUUCCCACAUGGUUAGUGAGACCGGAGGUUUUCUAGAUGGUGUCUUAAAGCCAGAAUGCAUUUCUUCUAAAUGAGUGAAAAGAAAUAGUCAAGGCGUGUACCUAUUUUGGACGGUGUGUGGGAGUCUAAGCUUUGUGGAGGAUUGUUUUCUGCUGGAGCAUGUCCUUCCAGGAUCACAUAGGAAAGCAUAAAUCAUCUGUCUGUAAAGAAUUUAGGAAGUUAUCUGAGUGUCUCUGUCACAUCAGGGUGGGCAAUGACUGUUGUUCAAGAAGAGUUCUGAUGUUGGAGGUGGCAACUGUCUUCACUUGUCUAACGUGGAAUAAAUGAGAUCUCAUAAGGUCGGGGUAUAUUUGUCAAUGUGGUGAUUAUGGGAGAAAUGUCAACAUCCUUGCGAUCUACAACGGUCUUCAGAGUAAAGUUCUGCAGGAUGGAUGUUAAAAAUAAGAAUAUCUCCAUCCGGGCCAGACC